GGCAAAGGCAGGUCAGUAUGCCCCGAAACCCCUGGGCUACACGCGGGCUGCAAUGGUAUGAACAAUGGGCUGUGAGUCCGAAAGGAGAAACCAUAUCCCGAAAUCAUAUCUCAGUUGGAAUUGUCGGCUGUAACCCGCCGACAUGAACGCGGAAUCCCUAGUAAUCGUGUGUCAUCAACGCACGGUGAAUACGUCUCUGCUCCUUGCACACACCGCCCGUCGCUCCAUCCGAGUGUGCUAAAAAUGAGGUUUGGUCAAUUUGGUCAUAUCGAGUUUCUAGUAUGCGAGGAGAGAGAAGUCGUAACAAGGUAACCAUACGAGGCGCA
RNAcentral lists this ribosomal RNA (326 nucleotides) under uncultured archaeon. RNAcentral describes it as "bacterial SSU rRNA". It matches the Rfam family "Archaeal small subunit ribosomal RNA", at positions 1134 to 1461 of the family's 1478-position model. The record is from RNAcentral.